AUGAGCAGCGUCAAUCAGACUCUUCCAUCCACUACAAAGCUGGUUGCUGAUGAAAUCAUACUUAGCGAGAAGAAAAAUUCUACUGUGAAGUCAACAUUCCAAACUAUUAAUGUUAAUGUUUCAAAGAAAGUGGCUACAUUAUUAAACACCAAAACGGAAAACCAGACUCAAUAUACUUCCUCAAAAACUAGCAGCGUCAGUCAGCGUCAAGACAUCGUCCCGAAACAUGUGCCUUCUCUUCAGGACCCACUUAGUGAGAAGAAAAAUUCCACUGUUAAGUCAACAUCCCAAACUAUUAAAGUUGCGACUACAUUAUUAAAGACCAAAUUGAAAGACCAAAUUUCCUCAAAAAUUAGUAGAGUGAAUCAGACUCUCUCAUCAUCUACAAAGCCUGAUGUGGACACCAUCCAGAAGCCCGUGCAAAGUGUACAAAACAAAGUUAGUGAGAAGAAGAAUUCUACUACCAAGUCAACAGUCAAUAGUGUUAAUGUUAAUGCUGAGAAACCAGUAACUACAUUAUCAAAGACCAAAAUGAAAGACCAAACUCAAUCUACUUCCUUAACAACUAGUAUAGUGAAUCAGACUCUCUCAUCAUCUACAAAGCCUGAUGUGGAAACCAUCCAGAAACCUGUGCAAAGUGAACAAAACACAGUUAGUGAGAAGAAAAAUUCUACUAUCAAGUCAGCAGUCAAUAGUCUUAAUGUUGAUGCUGAGAAACCAGUAACUACAUUAUUAAAGACCAAAAUGAAAGACCAAACUCAAUCUACUUCCUUAACAACUAGUAGAGUGAAUCAGACUCUCCCAUCAUCUACAAGGCCUGAUGUGGAAACCAUCCAGAAACCUGUGCAUGGUGAACAAAACACAGUUAGUGAAAAGAAAAAUUCUACUACCAAGUCAACAGUCAAUAGUGUUAAUGUUAAAGCUGAGAAACCAGUAACUACAUUAUUAAAGACCAAAAUGAAAGACCAAACUCAAUCUACUUCCUUCACAACUAGUAGAAUGAAUCACACUCUCUCAUCAUCUACAAAGCCUGAUGUGGAAACCAUCCAGAAACCUGUGCAAGGUGAAAAAAACACAGUUAGUGAGAAGAAAAUUUCUAUUACCAAGUCAACAGUCUAUAGUGUUAAUGUUAAUACUGAGAAACCAGUAACUACAUUACAAAAGACCAAAAUGAAAGACCAAACUCAAUCUAAUUCCUCAAAAAAUAGUACCACUGAUCAGACUCUUCUAUCCUCCUUGAAGCCUGCUGUAGAUGUUGUCCAGAAACCUGUGUCUUCUCUUCCAGCAACAACUGGUGCAAAGAAAACAACUAGUAGUACCGAGUCAGUGGGACACAUUAUUCAUGUUAAUGCUUCAAAGUCAGUAAACACCAAAAUGAUAAACCAAACCUAUUCUGUUUCAUCAAAACCUAGUAACGUGGGUCAGACUCUCGUAUCCACAGCAAAGCCUGUUGUAGAUGUCCAGAAAUCUGGUCCUUCUCUUCAAGGCACAAUAAGCAAGAAGAAAAAUUAUACUUCCAAGUUAACGACUCAAACUAUUAGUCAUAAUAUUCCCAAGCUAACUACAUUAGUGAAUACCAAAACUCAUCCAACUUCCUCAGAAACUAGUAGUAUCGAUCAGACUCUCCCAUCUACCUCAAAGCUUGAUGUGGAUGAAAGCACACUUAGCAAGAAGAAAAAUUCUACUGUAAAAUCAGUAUCCAAAAAUAUUGAUGUUAAUCCGCUGAAGACAUUAACUACAUCAUUAAACAUCAAAACAAAAACUAAAACUCAGUCUACUUCCUCAGAAAUUAGCAAUGUCAAUCAGACUGUUGCAUCUACCACAAAGCCUGUGGUCGAUAGAGUCCAGAAUCCAACUAAAGACAAACCUGCAGAGAGUUCACCAGUUAAAGUAGUCAUCACUGAGGGUUGCGUUCCUCAGGAGUCUCAGACAGACUCAGGUAACGUAACCAAAGUACAAGAAACUGAGCUCAGUUUGAAUCCUGGAUCUCCUCUGGUAAUGACUCAUCACAUCAACCUGGUUCAAGGAGCCUGCACAGGAAGCUGUGACACUGAGAUGGCCACACUGAGAGACAGAGUUGAGUUUCUUGAGAAGGAGAUGGCAGCGAUCAAAAAAAUGUGUAAGUAA
Long non-coding RNA from Cyprinus carpio (common carp), 2127 nucleotides. The record is from Ensembl. Lineage: Eukaryota; Metazoa; Chordata; Actinopteri; Cypriniformes; Cyprinidae.